UUAAGCGACUAAGCGUACACGGUGGAUGCCCUGGCAGUCAGAGGCGAUGAAGGACGUGCUAAUCUGCGAUAAGCGUCGGUGAGGUGAUAUGAACCGUUAUAACCGGCGAUUUCCGAAUGGGGAAACCCAGUGUGUUUCGACACACUAUCAUUAACUGAAUCCAUAGGUUAAUGAGGCGAACCGGGGGAACUGAAACAUCUAAGUACCCCGAGGAAAAGAAAUCAACCGAGAUUCCCCCAGUAGCGGCGAGCGAACGGGGAGCAGCCCAGAGCCUGAAUCAGUGUGUGUGUUAGUGGAAGCGUCUGGAAAGGCGCGCGAUACAGGGUGACAGCCCCGUACACAAAAAUGCACAUGCUGUGAGCUCGAUGAGUAGGGCGGGACACGUGGUAUCCUGUCUGAAUAUGGGGGGACCAUCCUCCAAGGCUAAAUACUCCUGACUGACCGAUAGUGAACCAGUACCGUGAGGGAAAGGCGAAAAGAACCCCGGCGAGGGGAGUGAAAAAGAACCUGAAACCGUGUACGUACAAGCAGUGGGAGCCUCUUUAUGGGGUGACUGCGUACCUUUUGUAUAAUGGGUCAGCGACUUAUAUUCUGUAGCAAGGUUAACCGAAUAGGGGAGCCGAAGGGAAACCGAGUCUUAACUGGGCGUUAAGUUGCAGGGUAUAGACCCGAAACCCGGUGAUCUAGCCAUGGGCAGGUUGAAGGUUGGGUAACACUAACUGGAGGACCGAACCGACUAAUGUUGAAAAAUUAGCGGAUGACUUGUGGCUGGGGGUGAAAGGCCAAUCAAACCGGGAGAUAGCUGGUUCUCCCCGAAAGCUAUUUAGGUAGCGCCUCGUGAAUUCAUCUCCGGGGGUAGAGCACUGUUUCGGCAAGGGGGUCAUCCCGACUUACCAACCCGAUGCAAACUGCGAAUACCGGAGAAUGUUAUCACGGGAGACACACGGCGGGUGCUAACGUCCGUCGUGAAGAGGGAAACAACCCAGACCGCCAGCUAAGGUCCCAAAGUCAUGGUUAAGUGGGAAACGAUGUGGGAAGGCCCAGACAGCCAGGAUGUUGGCUUAGAAGCAGCCAUCAUUUAAAGAAAGCGUAAUAGCUCACUGGUCGAGUCGGCCUGCGCGGAAGAUGUAACGGGGCUAAACCAUGCACCGAAGCUGCGGCAGCGACGCUUAUGCGUUGUUGGGUAGGGGAGCGUUCUGUAAGCCUGCGAAGGUGUGCUGUGAGGUAUGCUGGAGGUAUCAGAAGUGCGAAUGCUGACAUAAGUAACGAUAAAGCGGGUGAAAAGCCCGCUCGCCGGAAGACCAAGGGUUCCUGUCCAACGUUAAUCGGGGCAGGGUGAGUCGACCCCUAAGGCGAGGCCGAAAGGCGUAGUCGAUGGGAAACAGGUUAAUAUUCCUGUACUUGGUGUUACUGCGAAGGGGGGACGGAGAAGGCUAUGUUGGCCGGGCGACGGUUGUCCCGGUUUAAGCGUGUAGGCUGAUUUUCCAGGCAAAUCCGGAAAAUCAAGGCUGAGGCGUGAUGACGAGGCACUACGGUGCUGAAGCAACAAAUGCCCUGCUUCCAGGAAAAGCCUCUAAGCAUCAGGUAACAUCAAAUCGUACCCCAAACCGACACAGGUGGUCAGGUAGAGAAUACCAAGGCGCUUGAGAGAACUCGGGUGAAGGAACUAGGCAAAAUGGUGCCGUAACUUCGGGAGAAGGCACGCUGAUAUGUAGGUGAAGCGACUUGCUCGUGGAGCUGAAAUCAGUCGAAGAUACCAGCUGGCUGCAACUGUUUAUUAAAAACACAGCACUGUGCAAACACGAAAGUGGACGUAUACGGUGUGACGCCUGCCCGGUGCCGGAAGGUUAAUUGAUGGGGUUAGCGGUAACGCGAAGCUCUUGAUCGAAGCCCCGGUAAACGGCGGCCGUAACUAUAACGGUCCUAAGGUAGCGAAAUUCCUUGUCGGGU
This 1950-nucleotide ribosomal RNA is filed under the name human gut metagenome. RNAcentral's name for it is "bacterial LSU rRNA". It matches the Rfam family "Bacterial large subunit ribosomal RNA", at positions 1 to 1977 of the family's 2925-position model. The record is from RNAcentral.